RNAcentral lists this ribosomal RNA (495 nucleotides) under uncultured Glomus. Its description in RNAcentral is "SSU rRNA". It matches the Rfam family "Eukaryotic small subunit ribosomal RNA", at positions 569 to 1068 of the family's 1831-position model. The record is from RNAcentral. Lineage: Eukaryota; Fungi; Glomeromycota; Glomeromycetes; Glomerales; Glomeraceae.
AGCAGCCGCGGUAAUUCCAGCUCCAAUAGCGUAUAUUAAAGUUGUUGCAGUUAAAAAGCUCGUAGUUGAAUUUCGGGAUCAAUACGUCGGUCGUGCUUCGGUACGUACUGGCGUAAUUGAUUUCUCCCCUUCUGACGAACCAUGAUGUCAUUAACUUGGUGUCAUGGGAAAUCAGGACUGUUACUUUGAAAAAAUUAGAGUGUUUAAAGCAAGCUAACGCUUGAAUACAUUAGCAUGGAAUAAUGAAAUAGGACGUUCGAUCCUAUUUUGUUGGUUUCUAGGAUUGACGUAAUGAUUAAUAGGGAUAGUUGGGGGCAUUAGUAUUCAAUUGUCAGAGGUGAAAUUCUUGGAUUUAUUGAAGACUAACUACUGCGAAAGCAUUUGCCAAGGAUGUUUUCAUUAAUCAAGAACGAAGGUUAGGGGAUCGAAGACGAUCAGAUACCGUCGUAGUCUUAACCAUAAACUAUGCCGACUAGGGAUCGGAUGAUGUUAAUU